RNAcentral lists this unclassified non-coding RNA (192 nucleotides) under uncultured Ascomycota. RNAcentral's name for it is "sequence contains ITS2". Lineage: Eukaryota; Fungi; Ascomycota. The record is from RNAcentral.
CACCAAUCAAGCACCGCUUGGCAUUAGGUCUCUUUCGCCCCCGGUCCCUCGCGGACGGCGGGGCGGGCCUCAAACCCUUCGGCGGAGUCUCACUGACUUUCGGGCGUAGCAGAAUUUCUAAAACGUCGAGAGCAGCGGGGCCACAGCCGCGAAGAUACGGCGGGUCGCGAGACCCCCAUCUUUUUUCUCAAA